This 2789-nucleotide long non-coding RNA is filed under the name Cottoperca gobio. Its description in RNAcentral is "lncRNA (ENSCGOG00000015682.1)". The record is from RNAcentral. Lineage: Eukaryota; Metazoa; Chordata; Actinopteri; Perciformes; Bovichtidae.
UACUUUCUUUACUUAUUUAUUUAUAUUUAUUUUCUGCCUGUUGACCAUUAUCUCGUCAUGUCUGUUUUGGCUUCCCCCCCCCCGUGCAGCCUGUCUGCAGGUGAGUCCUGACCGGUCUCAGUUCUUCAGGUACGACUCCAUCACUCUGAGCUGUGAGGAUCAGUUGAACUCCACCGGCUGGAAGGUGAAGAGGAAGACGCCGGAGGGCGGGGUCAGACCCUGCUCCUCCGGCUGGGGCACCUCCUCCUCGGGCUCGACCUGCAUCAUCGGAAACACCUACCCGUCUGACAGCGGCGUGUACUGGUGCGAGUCCAGAGCCGGGGAGAGGAGCAACGUGGUCAACAUCACCAUCACCGGUACCGCACACGACACACGUUUAGCACGAGACGUUUCCUCAGAAUCCUGAAGUUAAAUUAGAAAUAUGAGUUUCUUUCUACUCCAAAGAUCACACUGUGCUCCUGAAGUGUCCGGCCCUCCCUGUGAUGCAGGGCGCUGCUGCGACUCUGCACUGUGAAGCUGAGAUGUACUCCUCCAACCACACGUUCGAUUUCCAUAAAGAUGGCCGUUUCCUCGGCAGCAGCCCCACGGGAGAGAUGAUGCUCCACAGUGUGUCCAGGUCUGAUGAGGGACUCUACACGUGCAGCAUCCCUCGAGUGGGAGAAUCAGUCGGCAGCUGGCUGAAUGUUGAUGGUUCUCUUCCAUCUUCAUCUUCGGCUCCGCCUGCAGCUUCCUGGUCAGUUUCUGUCCCCAGGCUGAUGCGCCACCUGCUGGUGGGAGCUCCUUACCUGCUGUCCACCAUCUUACUGGGGCUCAUAUACAGAGACAGAGCCAGAGCAGCUCGGACGGCCAUGGAGAGAAGAGGCAGCAGCGAGGUCAUCAUGGAAGUCGUCGUUUAGUCCUACAAAGACGUCACUCGCAGCACAGGAGGUCCUUUAACGCUGGAGACUCACUGCAACACAGUACGGACACAUUCCGAUCUAAAUAAAUACAAUUUAAGGAUGUUUUUAUAUGUUUGUUGCUUCAUGAACUUCUGUGAUUCGCUAUUAAAGUGAAAGUUGUGUUUCGCUCGUUUGGAUUAGAGAAACGUAAAUUCUUUAUUUGACAUUAGGACACACGAUGCACCUUUCUUGUGUUAAAGGCUGACGGGGGCGUGCAGGAUGUUUGUGGUUUGUCUUCAUCAUGCAGACAUGGAAGUGAAGUUUUCUGUUGUUUUGUUUUUUCGGUUUCACAUUUAAUCUCUUUUACUCAAAACUCUCUGAAUACAAUUAGCUGUUAUUAUUCAUUCUUAUUCUCCUCAAGUAUGAAUGUUACUUUGAUUUCCAGACAGGAAAAGCUCGAACGUGUUGAGUUAUUGUCAGAGAUCUUUAUUUUUGUGUGGUCAGUUUAUGUUGACGUGAUUCGUAUGAAAGUAGGUCGUUGUUCUAAGAAGUGGAACAUUGUUCCGCUUUAAACCCACACAAACAUGUCCGAUUAAACUAAAACUGCUGAUUUUAUUCACUGAUUUAUUUUGUGUUUCUCACGGAAACUCUUGUUUGUUGAGUGAAGUUUCUCCUUGUUGUAUAAAUAUAACAAUAAAUCUGUUUAAAGGUUUAAUUCACAGCGUGUCCUCCGUGUGUUGUAGAAAAGAAUCCCAUACAUGUUAAUAAUACAUUCGUGUUUUAUUAAACAAUCACAGUAAAAGGUUUUAGAAUAUUAUUAUUAUAUUCCUAUUUGAUAUAUCCUGCAUUACAGAUGUUUCAAAAUUCUUCACAAAACAUUUAGAAACAAUGUCAUUAGAAACACAAUCAUUGCAACACUGAUACCUGAGAUAGUUUAGAAAAUCAUGAUUUAGUGGCUCAAAACCAGACAGAUACAGAUACAGAUAUAAAAACCAGACAGAUACAGAUAUAAAAACCAGACAGAUACAGAUAUAAAAACCAGACAGAUACAGAUACAGAUAUAAAAACCAGAAAGAUACAGAUACAGAUAUAAAAAAUGCCCAAAUCUGCAUGUUAAUCAAGAAUAUUCUAAAAUCCCGCAACACACAAGAGAUUUAAUAAUUUUCACAUAGUUCUGGAUGAAACUUCAAUGAUUUCAUGGUCAACAUGGCAGCCAUGUGUUGUUCUUAGUUAGCAAUCAACAGUUGAAUGAAAGUGGAUUUUACAGGGUUUAUAAUCUAAAGACUCAAAGUAUUUCCUGAUAAACCAACAAAAGCUUUUUAUAGGUGGAAGCUGAGUUCUGCUCAGUAGUGUCUCCGGUGUCCUCAUGGUCCAGACUUCUUCUGUCCUGUCUUGAGUCGGACCUGUGAGACACACAAACAGGUUUUGUCCUCAGUGACGCCACAAAACGACUAAUUAAAGACACAAAAUGACUACAAAGAGACUCAAAACAACUACAAAGAGACACAAAACAACUACUUAAAGAUACAAAACAACUACUUAAAGACACAAAAUGACUACAAAGAGACACAAAAUGACUACAAAGAGACACAAAACAACUAAUUAAAGACACAAAACGACUACAAAGAGACUCAAAACAACUACAAAGACACAAAAUGACUACAAAGAGACACAAAAUGACUACAAAGAGACACAAAACAACUAAUUAAAGACACAAAACGACUACAAAGAGACUCAAAACAACUACAAAGACACAAAAUGACUACAAAGAGACACAAAACGACUACAAAGAGACACAAAACAACUAGUUAAAGACACAAAGUGACUACAAAGAGACACAAAACGACUACAAAGAGACACAAAACGACUACAAAGAGACACAAAACAACUAGUUAAAGACACAAAGUGACU